UACGUAGGGGGCAAGCGUUGUCCGGAAUCAUUGGGCGUAAAGAGCGCGUAGGCGGCUCGAUAAGUCUGCUGUGAAAGUCCAGGGCUCAACCCUGGAAGGGCGGUGGAAACUGUCGGGCUAGAGUCCGGAAGAGGCGAGUGGAAUUCCCGGUGUAGCGGUGAAAUGCGCAGAUAUCGGGAGGAACACCAAUUGCGAAGGCAGCUCGCUGGGACGUCACUGACGCUGAGACGCGAAAGCGUGGGGAGCAAACAGG
Molecule: ribosomal RNA, 253 nt
Filed under: uncultured bacterium
Lineage: Bacteria
Description: partial 16S ribosomal RNA
Rfam family: Bacterial small subunit ribosomal RNA
Source: RNAcentral